CCUACGGGAGGCAGCAGUGGGGAAUAUUGGGCAAUGGGCGCAAGCCUGACCCAGCAACGCCGCGUGAAGGAAGAAGGCUUUCGGGUUGUAAACUUCUUUUGUCAGGGACGAAGCAAGUGACGGUACCUGACGAAUAAGGUACGGCUAACUACGUGCCAGCAGCCGCGGGAAUACGUAGGUGGCAAGCGUUAUCCGGAUUUACUGGGUGUAAAGGGCGUGUAGGCGGGACUGCAAGUCAGAUGUGAAAACCACGGGCUCAACCUGUGGCCAGCCUUUGAAACUGUAGUUCUUGAGUACUGGAGAGGCAGACGGAAUGCCUAGUGUAGCGGUGAAAUGCGUAGAUAUUAGGCAGAACCCCAGUGGCGAAGGCGGUCUGCUGGACAGCAACUGACGCUGAGGCGCGAAAGCGUGGGGAGCAAACAGGAUUAGAUACCCCAGUAGUC
Molecule: ribosomal RNA, 443 nt
Filed under: uncultured bacterium
Lineage: Bacteria
Description: partial 16S ribosomal RNA
Rfam family: Bacterial small subunit ribosomal RNA
Source: RNAcentral